This 161-nucleotide ribosomal RNA is filed under the name Grammosciadium macrodon. RNAcentral describes it as "5.8S ribosomal RNA". It matches the Rfam family "5.8S ribosomal RNA". Rfam says of the family: 5.8S ribosomal RNA (5.8S rRNA) is a component of the large subunit of the eukaryotic ribosome. Lineage: Eukaryota; Viridiplantae; Streptophyta; Magnoliopsida; Apiales; Apiaceae. The record is from RNAcentral.
ACGACUCUCGACAACGGAUAUCUCGGCUCUCGCAUCGAUGAAGAACGUAGCGAAAUGCGAUACUUGRUGUGAMUUGCAGAAUCCCRUGAACCAUCGAGUCUUUGAACGCAAGUUGCGCCCGAAACCAUUAGGUUGAGGGCACGUCUGCCUGGGUGUCACGU